CCUACGGGAGGCAGCAGUAGGGAAUCUUCGACAAUGGGCGCAAGUCUGAUCCAGCUAUUCCGCGUGUGUGAAGACGGUUUUCGGGUCGUAAAACACUUUUGUAAAAGACGAAAAGUCUCUUGAUUAUAUCAACAGAUGCUGACGGUACUUUAAGAAUAAGCCACGGCUAACUACGUGCCAGCAGCCGCGGUAAUACGUAGGGUGCGAGCGUUAAUCGGAAUUAUUGGGCGUAAAGCGAGUGCAGGCGGUUUUGCAAGAUGGAUGUGAAAGCCCCGGGCUUAACCUGGGAGAGUCAUAGGUAACUGGGAGACUAGAGUGCGUAAGAGGGGAGUGGAAUUCCAAGUGUAGCAGUGAAAUGCGUAGAUAUAUGGAGGAACACCGGUGGCGAAGGCGGCCCCCUGGUACGUAACUGACGCUCAUACACGAAAGCGUGGGGAGCAAACAGGAUUAGAUACCCGUGUAGUC
This 465-nucleotide ribosomal RNA is filed under the name uncultured bacterium. RNAcentral's name for it is "partial 16S ribosomal RNA". It matches the Rfam family "Bacterial small subunit ribosomal RNA", at positions 338 to 795 of the family's 1533-position model. The record is from RNAcentral.